This 956-nucleotide ribosomal RNA is filed under the name uncultured bacterium. RNAcentral's name for it is "bacterial SSU rRNA". It matches the Rfam family "Bacterial small subunit ribosomal RNA", at positions 1 to 917 of the family's 1533-position model. The record is from RNAcentral.
AUCCAGACUUUGAUCCUGGCUCAGGAUGAACGCUGGCGGCGUGCCUAAUACAUGCAAGUCUGAACGGGAGCAAUUGUGCUUCGAGUGUGCGAACGGGUGAGUAAUUACAAUAAGUAACCUGCCCCUAGACAGGGGGAAUAACUAUUGGAAACGAAUAGCUUAAGAACCGCCAUAGGUACGGACCACUGCAUGGGUGUGACCCUAUUAAAAGUGGCCUCCAAAGCAMUGGUAGAGGAUGGACUUAUGGCGCAUUAGCUGGUUGGCCGGGGGUAACGGCCCUACCAAGGCGACGAUGCGUAGCCGACCUGAGAGGGUUGACCGGGCCACACUGGGACUGAGACACGGUCCCAGACUCCUACGGGAGGCAGCAGUAGGGAAUUUUCGGCAAUGGGGGAAACCCUGACCCGAGCAACGCCGCGUGAAGGAAGAAAGGUUUUUCGGAUUGUAAAACUUCUGUUAUAAAAGGAAAAACGGCGGCUACAAGGAAAUGGUAGCCGAGUGACGGUACUUUAUUAGAAAGCCACGGCUAACUACGUGCCAGCAGCCGCGGUAAUACGUAGGUGGCAAGCGUUAUCCGGAAUUAUUGGGCGUAAAGAGGGAGCAGGCGGCAGCAAGGGUCUGUGGUGAAAGCCUGAAGCUUAACUUCAGUAAGCCAUAGAAACCAGGCAGCUAGAGUGCAGGAGAGGAUCGUGGAAAUUCCAUGUGUAGCGGUGAAAUGCGUAGAUAUAUGGAGGAACACCAGUGGCGAAGGCGACGAUCUGGCCUGCAACUGACCGCUCAGUCCCGAAAGCGGUGGGGGAGCAAAUAGGAUUAAGAUUACCCUAGUUAGUCCACGCCGUAAACGAUGAGUUACUUAAGUGGUUUGGAUUGUCAAAGUUCAGUGCUGGCAGUUAACGCAAUAAGUACUCCGCCUGAGUAGUACGUUCGCAAGAAUGCAACUCAAAUGAAUUGACCGG